Molecule: ribosomal RNA, 404 nt
Filed under: Fusobacteriota bacterium
Lineage: Bacteria; Fusobacteriati; Fusobacteriota
Description: Fusobacteria bacterium partial 16S ribosomal RNA
Rfam family: Bacterial small subunit ribosomal RNA
Source: RNAcentral
UGGGGAAUAUUGCACAAUGGAGGGAACUCUGAUGCAGCGACGCCGCGUGAGUGAUGAAGGAAUUCGUUUCGUAAAACUCUGUUCUAUGGGAAGAAAAGGACUGUACCAUAGGAGAAAGCUCCGGCUAAAUACGUGCCAGCAGCCGCGGUAAUACGUAUGGAGCGAGCGUUGUCCGGAAUUAUUGGGCGUAAAGGGUGCGCAGGCGGCUUUACAAGUUGGAUGUGAAAUAUUGUGGCUCAACCACAAACGUGCAUCCAAAACUGCAAAGCUUGAGUUAAGGAGGGGUAAGUGGAAUUCCUGGUGUAGCGGUGGAAUGCGUAGGUAUCAGGAGGAAUACCGGUGGCGAAGGCCACUUACUGGACUUAAACGAACGCUCAGGCACGAAAGCGUGGGGAGCAAACAGG